This 343-nucleotide small nuclear RNA is filed under the name Nannospalax galili (Upper Galilee mountains blind mole rat). Its description in RNAcentral is "7SK RNA (ENSNGAG00000005750.1)". It matches the Rfam family "7SK RNA". From Rfam's summary of the family: 7SK was discovered as an abundant small nuclear RNA in the mid-70s but a possible function has only recently been suggested. Lineage: Eukaryota; Metazoa; Chordata; Mammalia; Rodentia; Spalacidae. The record is from Rfam by way of RNAcentral.
GGAUAUGGGGGUGAUCUGGCUGUGACAUCUGUUACUCUACUGACUGCAAGAGUUGAUCCUGCUGAUUUUGUUGGCUAGGAAGGUGCUCUCUUCCUCCCUAAACACUUCAUGUGCAUCUCUCCAUCUGUAUGCUCAUUUGAAGAGGAUGAUCUUCCCCAAUAGAAGGAGAACCAGUCUUUGGUCAAAGAAAUACAAUUAGCUGUGCUCCCCUGCUAGAACUUCCCAACAAGUCUCAAAUUUAUUAAUCAACUUCUCUCACUGUGGUUCCUUGCUGUGCUGGAUAGCAAGUGUCAACUUGAGAUACCUGGGUUGAAGGAACAUCAUUUGGGGAAUUGCUUCCAUU